RNAcentral lists this ribosomal RNA (381 nucleotides) under uncultured bacterium. RNAcentral describes it as "bacterial SSU rRNA". It matches the Rfam family "Bacterial small subunit ribosomal RNA", at positions 28 to 402 of the family's 1533-position model. The record is from RNAcentral.
GACGAACGCUGGCGGCGUGCCUAACACAUGCAAGUGGAGCGACGACCCGGGCUUCGGCCCGGUGCAAAGCCGCGAACGGGUGAGUAACACGUGGGUAACCUGCCCUGAUGAUUGGGACAACCCGAGGAAACUCGGGCUAAUACCGAAUGUGCCCUCUGGCCUCAAGGCCUCUGGGGAAAGGAAGCUUCGGCCUCCGCAUCGGGAUGGGCCCGCGGCGCAUUAGCUUGUUGGUGAGGUAACGGCUCACCAAGGCGACGAUGCGUAGCUGGUCUGAGAGGACGAUCAGCCACACUGGGACUGAGACACGGCCCAGACUCCUACGGGAGGCAGCAGUGGGGAAUCUUGCGCAAUGCGCGAAAGCGUGACGCAGCAACGCCGCGU